UUGCAUAAGAAAGUAUCAAAACAUAAAUCUACUUGCUAUUACAAGCAUUCAUCUCAUAUAUUACAUUUUUACAUUCUUAGAUUUCAUCACAUUUGAUUCUUUGAUUCUUACUUCCAAAUACAAUCAAAUUAUUGCAAAUUUAUUACAAGUUUGAUACAUCUUGUUCUUUCAUUUUCCAUAUCCCUAAGUAGCCGACUCAGGGUGUUGCUAUCUGGUCUCUGUGGUAGGGCGCAAACUACGGAGCUACGCCCUUUCCCCGCGCCGCCGUGCCGCUCGCGUGUGAACCUGUAACACCCCGAAACAACGUCGGGUGAGAACUAACUCCAUAGUUCCCAGUGGGUACGGCCACCCAAGGGAAGAGCUCAACCAUCAGGUUCAGCGGGUGCCAUUUCUAUAGGGUCUUAGAAAUAGUGAGUUGUCCCAGGCAAGAAUCAAUCACCAAUCCCUUCCCUAUACAGGUGGCAUGGCCCGCAAUCAGCUGGAAACACAUCCCGAAUUCUCAGCCAACUGGAAUAUCAUCAAUUCUUGACGGUUUUUCAGUUCACUAUAAAAUGCUAGCCAAGCUAAGGCUACACAACCCCUCAGCGAAUCAAUGUCGUGCUCUGCGAAGACCUUAAUGGCAUGCGAACCAAUACUCUGCACCCUUUAUUAAACCAACUCCUGUGUGGACCGGUUCCCGAAAGGUCACGUUCGUUCGUGCAAUCUAAUGUGUCAUAAUACUUAUUCAACCAAUCAUACCCAAUACCUACAUCAAAUCUCACCUAUUGUGUAGUGCAGAAUCCAAUGAUAUCCAGUCGCUACCCACUGCGGCGCGAGGGCCAAUACUUCACAAAUAAUCCAGGUAUUGUCUAGGUACAUUCACUCGUCCCAAAAUGCAAAGUAGGUACUAACUGUAUGCUUAUGCAACUCGGCGAACUGCGAUCAAAAAGGACAUGCGAAGCACCAAGUAUCAAAUAAUGCCGAACACGAUAUCAUUAAAGCUUAUAAUACUGGCACGACCUUCCUGUCGCGGCUGUGCGCCCUCAGUUCUCGGCGGCAUACAUCCGCCCACUUCGAACCCUAGCUGUGAACUCUCCGAUGCCGCUGUCCAGUGGUCGCCUAGACUGAUAAGGCUGCUUCGGGCGUGCCCUGGCUCUGGAGCUGAAGAGGCAGUGCAGAAGCUGCGAGGUGCAGGCAAAGAACCCUCGGCACUCUGAAGAAGUGGCCAUCCUGGCGCCAAGAAACCAUCCUGCCCCACGCUGUGGAACACUGUGGCGGUACGAGGGCCCACCACAGAUAACACAACGCGGUGGUCGACGACGCUCGGUGCCGCCACGCAGUACGAAGAACCUCGACCCUCGACUGUCCUUGACUGUCCCUCGCGAUACUUGGCGGUCUCCUGAAGGCCUGCUGAACCACUGCUUCUCAGCUACUGGUCAUUUCCCUUACCCUCGAUCCACAACGUCUACUUUCCUUCAUGGAUUUUCGCCCUUUCUCCACGAUACAAAGGCUCGGUUCACGACCUCCCGGAGUAAGUGGAGAGGUUUGCACGCUGGACAAUCUGGAAAAUCGCAGUGCCUGCAAAACCCACCUCAAAGAUACGGCCUGUCCUCUGUCUCGGAUACAAAAGGAACACAGUGCAGUAAUCGACGAGAACUCUCGCUCGUACUCAGCCACUUCCUGUCCCCUGUCUCAAGUUCCUCAGAUCCCUUUCAUCUGCUCUUCACACUCUGUGGAAUAUUGUAUCAACAACAACUCCUUGAACCUUGUUCCACGUGAUAGCAGACAAAUCAGCACGGGAUCCUCCCGAUAGUCCAUCCCAACCACCUGUAAGCCUCGCCAUUCAAGGUGGUGGUGUCGCAAACCAAACUCGGUACGCUCCUCAAAAAGUGUUCAUAGAAUAGUUUUCCAUGCAUUAACCAUUUUCAACACCAAUGAUUCUUUCUGCCCAUUCAAGACACUGGAGGCGUUUGCAUGCACGAAUUUCAUUCAGUCGUUCCAAUCAUCCGCUCUGUCCUCAACCCCCACCAUUCGGGUACACACUGUCCUCAAGCUAUUGUACAGGUACUCGGUUGGUAGCGAUACUACUGUCUCCUGUCGGUCUCUGCCCUCGGAGCUACUGGGGUGUAUCGGUACCGGUGACGUGCUCUCACUGUGGUUGCACCUCUCUGGUAAUAUUAGUCAGAAUUCGGAGGUACAGACCUGGAAUCUCUCUAUCGGUCGUCUGCGCGUAAUAGAGAUCUCUAACCUCUUCAUCCUGUCAUCCUUGCCGACGCGCAGCGUCCAUCUGCUGUCGUGCUGCCGCGGCCUGCUGAUAACCAACUACUGUCAACGCGCAAAGCUGGAUUCAAUCAUGGAAGGCUCACUGGACCCCGACGUGACGGAAAGUCUCUACCUACUUCCGCAGCGGCCCUCAAGCCGCACCGCGCGGGUCCAAGAACGAGUCUAGGCAUCUUGAACUGCCAACACAAAAAAACAAACAUAGGUCAAUAAACCCUAUACUAUCUGACCCUCAUUGAGGAUUAUAAACCAGCUAAUCAAGCGAAAGUAAUGAAAUGUACCGCCUACCUUAACUUCCCGAUGUACUGUUGUCGCCGCCAACGUGACCUCUGCAAAAGUUAGUACUUGCCACAUCCCGAUCAACUCCUUACAUUCGGGAGUUUAUAAAUUACCAAUCAAGAAGUACUCUUCGCUAACAACAACCUCGAGAUAGACAUUGUCUCUUCACGACCUAUCCUUAUAGUCCAACCAGCCUAAGGUUUAACAAGCGUCUACUAAGACUCAACCUAAGCUUGAUACCACUAUAAUCUGUCCACGCCGGUACACGGAAGCAUAUCCGGCACGUUGCACAGACCGCCAUAAACCAUCAGUAAUAAGGUGCGUCUACGAUGAAGCAAGUCGAUAGGAAGUAAAACAAGAGAGCCUAUCCUGAUUCGAGCAAAGUAAAUCGAUAACAAAGAGUAUUCCAAAUCCGAUGUCAAAAUCAAAGUGUAUACAAACCAUGAUCUGCAGCAAAAAAGGAAGGUAACACUACUAUACUAUCAACUCCCGAAAGUAAAUAUACAUCACGGGUGUACAAAAAGAAUGAACAUGUGGUCUCUCUAUUAUAUGAUGGACAUCACGCCCGGCCGGUACCCGAGCUCAAGCAAGGUGUGCGACUAGCACGGUCCUAGUAGUGCCCUAGCUAGGCGCUGACUCCCUUGCCACGAUCCCUAGCCUCUCCGUAACAGGCUCGUAAAACAACACCAAAAGGCGUGAGAACUAUUAACAUAGUUUCCCAGUGGUAUAGCCGCACCUCGGCGAAUUACACCACUUAGGCUCAGAUGUAGCAGAAUGGAUAUAAGAAGCAGUAAUUUGCAUGAUCAUAUUUCAUGCUAACAUUCAACGCCAUGUAACAAAUAGAUGAAAUGUACAAACAUGUGAUCAUAGCAUCAACAUAUGAAUCACUGAAGGAUAGAAUGCAUUGGCUACUACAUAUAGUCAUAAACCGCGUAGCAUAAGUGUGAAUAACUUACGUCUGUACACUGUAACUGGUAAUUAUUCCAUUACUGAUCGCAGACUUUCCUUUAAGCACUUUCCUUUCAUUCACAGGGAUCUAGCCUCAAGGAUAGUCCAGCUUUGCGCCGCGCUAAUGGUCCCCGUGUAAGUAUAUCCUCCCGCACGGCAAUCCACUUCGGCACCCAAUCCCCGGCCGGCGCAAACUGUCGCGUAGCAACUCGGAGUGCCGGUUUAGGAUGCUACCCCUCACAAGCAUGUGCGAAAUGACACGAUCAAGCAAGCAAGUCAACAGUCCAACAAUGUCUCAAUAUCAUAUUUUUAGUUCACAUAUUCUCGGUUCUCGAUCCAUUUGAUCGACAUUCAGUAUAACAAAUAUUAACAACAAACUAGAAUCACUAGUUUAGUAAGCAUACAGGGGUAAUGCUAAUUUACAUAUGGCAUUAGAAUCUUUCCACUACUCAUGACGAUAAAGCAUGUCAUUUCUCUACUUUCCAAAAUCACAUCAUUAUGUCCAUUAGUAAUCUUAAACUAAUAUAAUAUAAACAUAAAUAUAGCAUAAAGACACUUAUGCAUGAGUGCUCUCUACUUCAUAGAGGCUCUAUUUCCAUUAUGUAAGGCUUAAUCACACGGAUGUCCCUAAUCCUUAGUAAUACAUAGAGUGACAAUAACACACAAGUAUAUCGAUUCUCUAUUAGUGACAUAUAGAACAUAGAGGAGCUUCACCUGCUCUGGUUAGGUCCGACCCACCUCGUACUAUGCUCAAAGCAGUCACAAGACGUCCCAAGAAUCAGCUCAACAAAGUCCCAACAUGCUGAAAAUAAGGUAAAAACGCACCGAGCCGAUUAUACAAUCCAAUUUCAGGCAAUUCUAAUAUAACAAGUGAGCUCAAUUCCACAAUUCAUGUUUUGUUAGUUCUAUUACUCACGUUAAGCUUCCGAAGCCCUCCAAUGCAAACGAAGGCGAUCUCAAGGUCAAAUACCUUCUCGUUGCGAACAAUAUCAAAAACGGCGUCAAAAUCAUUGACUAUUAAUAAAUAUAGCCGGAAACUUACGAUUUUCAGUUUUUCUAACUGAAGUUCUAGCUUACCCUAGGUUAGAGCAGCUUCCACCAGCUUCUAAGGGUACAAAUUCAGCUCAACGAAGCUCGAAGACUGCUGCGAAGGAAAAUCCCAUUUGCAUUAGUUCGCUCAAACAUAGCAUUUCGUUCCAAAUAGCUUCAUAAAUGGCUAAAUAUCUCCAUUAAGCUUCAAGUAGCUUAACCCUGGUCUAAGGAGGUUAAUUCGACAGCUAAUUAAUCCAACUUUAAUUGCUGAAAUCUCAGGUUAAAGCAACUAGAAGCAUAAACUCAAAACGCAACACGUAAGACUACUAGACGUUGAUAAAGGAGGAAAUCGAUGUUUACCUUCUCAAGUUUCCAACCAGCACCCACUCGUCCAGGGCUGCGAAAAUCCUUCCAAAACGCUCUCUGCAUGUGCACAAAGGCGCUGCGACGCUCGCAACCAGCGAAAACGCCGCGCGACGACGAAACGACGCGAAAUCGGCGAAUUCUUUGUAGAGAGAGAAAGAACCUAGAGAGAGAGAGAGAAAAUGAUGCAAUUGGUUUCUCUGGCUCUAGACACAUCCAGCAAGCUCCAAGAGUCUGCUGGGAUCAAAUAUGAGGCACAAGAUGCUGAAAUGACCAAUUGGCCCUGCUACCACAAUCUGCCAGCUUGUACCGUACAAUAAUGGCUUACCGGAUACAGCAGCAGAAAUGCUGAAAUUUCGCAGGUCAAUGCAUUUCUUAUUUUUUGCAUUCAAUCACUCCAAACUUGUCCAAAACACUUGUUCUAACUUUUAGAACAUGUAGGAGUGAUCACACACCAUUCACACACUCGAAUUCGCAAUUGCAAAAGUUCAUGUAUUACACUAAUGCUAAAGAAGACAGUAAUAAAGAAUAAAGAAAGGUUAAUGCUAAUAUAUAGUCUAGUAAAGUAAAAGAAUGAGUAAAAGUAAAGAUGGGUAAGAAUAAAGUGUGAAGCAAUUAAUCUACUAUAUAGAAUUGCAUAAUGUACAUGAUGCAUGUUGUGCAGGCAAAAGCAUGGUAAUGUUAGUUGCAUGACUUAUGAUUCAUAUCUAUCUAUUGGAUCAACAGUUGUUUGCCUCCUUUGAACUGAUNNNNNNNNNNNNNNNNNNNNNNNNNNNNNNNNNNNNNNNNNNNNNNNNNNNNNNNNNNNNNNNNNNNNNNNNNNNNNNNNNNNNNNNNNNNNNNNNNNNNCCUAGGGGCGUGGGGGCACAUAUAGAAGUGUCAUAAUGCAAAUACACCCCUGUAGUUCCGACCAUUCAGAAUCUGUCACUGCGUACCGGUACACGGGCCAGCGUACCGGUACACCUCCCACGAAAAUGCCAAACCCGAACCUCGGGUUUGCCUCAAAACUGCCUGUGUACCGGUACACGAGCCCGCGUAUCGGUACAACCAUCAACCCUGUACCGGUAUAGCCAUCAACCCUGUACCGGUACACGGCCCAAUGAAAGCUACCCCAGAGCUGAGUUCUCGGGCUCCAACUUUUUGGGUUUUGGUACUAAGCUUUAGACCUCACUUCUCGGGCUUCGAACCAUAGGUCGGAACACUGUCAACGACCCACCAGAAAGUCUGGAAAAGCUCAGGACACAUCCAAUCACUCGAACCUCGCAAUUUGCAAAGGUCCAGUGUGUUACAAUUAUUCCUGGUUGGAACCCCGCGCUUUGUAUGGAUUGUGAUGCCUAGGAUGUAUAGGAGAAACUCUGUUCGUCCGGCGGUCUGUCGGCGUGCCGGAAUCCGACCAAAUAGGCAGGUCACGGAGCGUGACAAUACAAGUCCGGAUUUGCACAAAAGAUUUGCAAACUACACUAUUUUAUAGUACAUUGCGAUGCUACUUUUGGUCAAGGAGGUGCAAGCGACGAAGGGCGUUGCCCACAAACGCAAGCGAUACGGCGGCGGGGGAUGUGGCUCGCAUCUUAGUCGUCCUAAGUGGUUGUGGCCGCGGCGGCGGCGUCGAGAGCUCUUCUUCGUCGCAUUUAUUUUGGCGGCACAGCCGGUCAUUGCGGGGGGCGGAAAUUAAAGUCGUCCUUGUUGGCGGCAGUGGUCGUUCCGACCACGGCCGCGGCGGAUGGGGAGAGUGCUGGAAAUUAAAGUCAUCUUCCACUUCUCCUCUGCAAACGCAGCGGAUACUGACAGGCUUCCAUGGAGGAGAGAGAGUGCUGGAUUAUACUGUUGAUCGGUGGAGAUUGCACUAGAACGAGCCGAAGGAUGCACUGUUAGAAGGGCUGGUGUACUAUUUUCCCUCGCGUUGCUCCUUCGCGUUGCACUAUUAUACCUGUUGCGAGGUGCGCAGUCUUUGUCAUUUAGCUUCAGCUUAUUUAAUUUCUUAAAGCCGAACAGUAAACAGCGGGGCCAGCAAAUAGAGGGACUGCUUUGGUUCUGGUCCCGAGGAGGGUGAGGUUGCGUAAAGGGUAAGGGGCGCAUUUAAUGCCUGCCAGGACUGGAGUAGUCUUCUAACACUUGAUAGGGCUAAACUCUUAACCCGGCUUAAGCAUUUUGGGUGGUGGUAAGGCCCAAGAGGUUAAGAGAGUUAAGCGUGCUAGGACGGGAGUAGUCCUAGGAUGGGUGACCCCCUGGGAAGUCGGGGCGUCACAGAUGGUAUCAGAGCCAAUUACCAGCCGGAAGUGUGAGAUGAGUCUCGGCUGAGCCAGGGUCUGGAUGACGGGCUAGCGAGACGAGUCUCACAUCGCCUGGUACUUGUGAGUCUGAGCCUGACGAGGACGUCAGGGCUUAAAGAAGGGGAGAUUGUGAGACCCCAGAUAGUCCUAUAUAUAAAAUAUAAUAGGGCUAAACUCUUAACCCGGCUUAAGCAUUUUGGGUGGUGGUAAGGCCCAAGAGGUUAAGAAAGUUAAGCGUGCUAGGACGGGAGUAGUCCUAGGAUGGGUGACCCCCUGGGAAGUCGGGGCGUCACAAAAAUGAUACCUGCGACCACAUUCUCAGCUGCCGCCGCCUCCUCAGUCUGGGCCGCGUACAUGCGCCCGCUCGGGGCCUGUCGUGACCCCUCCGUCUGCCGCUGAACAGGUGGCCGACCGGUCUGGUGAUGCGCAGAGGAUGUCCCCUGGCUGGGACUUGGCGAUGCUGGUGCAGAUGCCGCAGAUGGCGCUGGCAAUGGACUCCUCGGGCAAUCCGACUGGAAGUGGCCCUCCUGGCCACACAAGAAGCACCUGCCCCGGCUGCGUGAACACUGCCGCGGGUAAUGAGGACCGCCACAGAUCACGCAGCGGGGAGCCUGAGCGAGCGAUGUGCGGGGUCCUCGCCUGCGCGCUGGGAGUAAGACUGGGCCGCGUGCCUGGGCGACUGGCUCCUCUCCUGGGGAUGCUCGGGGCGCCUCGUAGAUUGCGUCUGACUACCCUCAAGCCGCGGGUCUCUUCCUUCCCUUUCUCCAAGCUCUCGCGGGGGGGGGCUCCUGCAGCAUCCCGCCGCUCCUGCCUCAACGUAAUCAAUGCUCGAUCCACAACCUUUUCCCGGUGUAAGGUUCUGGAGUUGGAAGACUGCACCAACCGAAAGAUAGAAGGCCGCAAACCGCGCUCAAAAAGAUGCGGUCCUUGGUCCUCGUCAUCCCACACCACAAAAGGCACACAGAUGGGGUAAUCGAAAAACGUGCCCUGCUCGGUACUUGGACCACGGACCGGUGCGUGCGAUGCCUGGGGCAGAGCUGCGCAAUGCCUGCUCGGCAGGUUCUUCCUCUUGAGGCGCUGGGUAGGAAUAGGGGUGGCGCUAGAAGAAGCUCCUUGGAGAUCGCGUGCCAAAGGAGGAUCGCCUGUCAAGUCGUGCUGGAUUGGUCCUGAUGGUCCAAACCACCCAACGUAGGCCUCGCCGUCAGAAGUGAGGGGUUGGCGAAGGCAAACGCCGUGUCCCUCGUCGCUCAACGAAGGCGUAUCUCGAAAUAGUUUCUCCAUAUGCAUCAACCACUUCUCAACAAUCCAGCGGUCGACGUUCUGCACAUCAAACAUCCUCGGGCGUCCGCUCCUGGAAUCACUGAGGUGCUCCAUGAGCCGUCUCGCCUCGGCUCCCAUCGGCCUCAGGGGAAAACUGGCCCCGUCACCGGUCUCUGCGACUGGGGUACGCGAGCACCUCCUUCCCGAGGGGUGGUGGUGCGCCCGGGCCGCAGGGGAAGAACUGGGGCGCAGGACUGCGGCCCUCGGUGCACGUCGCACCACGGUGCUGCGUGCUGUGGGCCCUGGGUCUCCCUCGAAGCUGCCGCCUGCUGAAGUAGGGAGGUUCCUCCAGGAUGUUCAUCGCGCUCCUGCGCUUGAGCCACCUCAGCCUGCCGCUGCGGCCGCUUGCGUCUGCGCGCCAACAAUCAGUGAGAAACCGCCAAAGCUGGGCCCUCAAGUCACGGGACCUCACUAGAUGCCGGAAGUAGCGGAGUGGCUUCGACCUGCCUCGACGGGUGUGCGCAUCAUCCGCGCGGCGCAGAGUGAGAGCGCGUAAUCGGCAUCGUCACUACAAAACAUAAGAGCGCAAGUUAGUAACCCACGCUGUCGCAUCCCCGCUCAAAAGAUAAAACCCCAAAUCAUGCGAAAGUAAGGAAGUGUCCUUCACUACUAACUCCCGAUGUUACGUUGUCGGCCGCCAACGUAACCCUCCGCGAAGUUAGAAGCCAUACACUCCGAUCAAACUCUAACUUUUUAGAGUUGUCAUAAACCCAAUCAUAAUACUUUCGCUCACAAGUCAAUUAGACCUCGUCUCUCACGAGCCUAAUUCCUAUAGUCCAACCGGCCUAAGGUUCGCUAGGUCCACUAAGACUCAACCCUAGGCUCUAAUACCAAAUUAAUCUGUCACGCCCCGGGACCGGCGGAGGCCCUCCCGGUAGCGUGCCCAGACCCGCCAUAUGUCUACACAUAUAAGGCGUCUACCAUAAAAGCGGAAGUAAAAGCAAAUAAUAAAACAAAUAGAAGAAGUGAAAUAAUGAGCAGCUAAUGAUAUCAGAGCGAGUAAAGUUCUAACAUCUACACCAAGGUAAAGCAGUAAAGCUAGACAAUAAAAGAAGUCAUAAGUAGUACAAUAUCUGUCUCAAAAGUACAAAAACGGUGGUCUCUAAUACACUGGUAGAACUCUCAACCUCUCGCAAAAGGAAACAAAAAUCGAGAGGUAGACCACCUAGCAACUCGUCCUCGAAGGAAGCUAGCUCGAAGCAACUCCCUUCCCGCGAUCCCUGGCCUCACCCUGAGUGGAAGGCUCUGUAAAACAUCGAGAAAAACAGGGCAUGAGAACUAUAAUUUAUAGUUCCCAGUGGGCAAUUACUGACCUCAGCUUAAUGCACCACUAGGCCCCAAAAAAAGAGGGUAAGUACAAUAAUAAUAGCAACAGAUAGCGAACACGAACUGCAGAAGGAAGCAUGAAUGAAAUGCUAUGCUACUAUGUCUCCAGUAAGCAUGAUGUUAUGGUAAUGUACAUCUACGCUAUCAUAAGGUAAUAUAUCCGAUGCAUACUAAUAUGUCUCAACAUAAAAGCAAGUAAACCUCACGAUGCCAUAUAUCAAUGCAUAAGGGUAAACUUUAUCCAAACAACCGAGUGUGCUACGAUGCGAUAAUGAAACUGGCAAGUAUACAAAAUGUACCAAUGCUAUAUCAUAAGCGUGUCCAAGUAAUCCAACUACUAAUCCUAUCUAGUAGUGAUUGUUCAUAUUCAACACCGUGUCGAUUUCAUUUCCAAUUAAGGGCCUACCAAAGGUAGUCCAGCUUGUGCCGCCUAAGUGCCUGUGGUAGCCCGACAUCCCUACUCUUGGGAUGUGUCUGUCCCACUCGGCCCCGUAGGCUUCUCAAUACCGCACGAGCGAACGUAGUCGCGUAGGCUAACUCCGGAGUGCCGGCUUGUAGGGAGCGACCCUCACAAGCAUGUGCGAAUGAGCACAAAUGGCAAGCAAGCAUAGUCCAAGUCUCAAAUAUCCAAUCCUCAUGUCUCUAACAUGGUACGGUCACUAGCAUCACGAAGAUCUAGUUUAAGUCAAAAUAUGAAGUUUCAACAUUUGUUACGCCUAGUGCCCCUUGAUGACACUUAGGCAAUUUGAUGUUCAACAUGUAUUCCAAAUCCCUCAAUGGCCCUAUCCACUAGGUUCACACAAGUCCUGAGCUCAAUGCCGCUUAAUGACAUUAGCUCUCCAAUUCACAUGAUAUCAAGUUCGAUGCCUACAUAUAUAGCAAUUGUCAUCUUUCAUGUCUCAAUUAAACUUAUGUUUAAACGCAUGAAUCAUAGCUCAUUUACUCUAUAGAAAUAUGAAAUCAAAUCUCAUAUAGAAUGCUAAAUGCAACCAAAGAUCUCCCAAGCAACUCUCUACUACAUAGGGGUCCAAAAUUUCAUCAUAUAUAACAUAUACAUUUUAAGCAUUCUAAAAAUCAUAAUAAAUACAUUUAAUAUGAAAAUGCAUGAAUUAUUAGUAAACAAAGCACUUAUCACCAAAUAUGAGAUUUUCUCAUAUCAAAGGCUAGGUCAAACCCACCAAAAUCGAAACUUUUGUUUCGCCGAACGGAGAUUUCCACAAGCUUUUUAGCACCCUAGGAACAUCAAAAAUGGUGUCAUCCAAUCGAUACGAAGAGCAAUAAGCUCAAUCAUUAACCUAGAAGCAAAAUGGCCAAAACUCACCUCCAGAGUAGAAAUCUUCUCCUAAGCUCCAAAAGAGAGCUAGAACCCUUCCAAUCCAAGCCCUAGGAAGGUUCUAAACCAACCAAUCAAGCCUCAAAAGCCCUAGGUUCAAAAAGCCCAAAAUAAACCCUAAGUCCCAAAACUAGGGUUUCAUCUCAAAGAAAGCUCUAAAAUUCAAAACUAGAGGAAAGAAUCUUGCCACUUACCUCUUAGAAGCCUCAAAAUCAGCUCAAAGUUCUCAAACUUCAAGUAUCUUCCCUCAAUCAAACUCCAAACCCAAGCUCCAAGCUCAAAAAUGGAGGAAAUAGCUCCAAUAGGCAAAAGAGAGGGAAAAACCAUUAAAAUCCAAGCUAAAAUGAGAUCAAAUCCAAAAGGGGUGAAGGGGAGAGGUGCCCUACCUGAUUACCCACUCUUCUCAGCCCAGGGGAGAGCCCUAGGGGCGUGGGUGCUGAUAUAAGAAGCCCACAAUCGCAAAUAAGCCCCUGCAGAACAAACUGUGUAGAAUCUGCCUCCUUGUACCGGUACACGGGAUCUUGUACCGGUACAAGAGCUACGAAAAUCCAAAACCGAGGCUCGGGUGCACGGUUCUGCGGCACUGUACCGGUACAGGCCCGAUGGCUGUACCGGUACAACCAUCAACAUUGUACCGGUACAAGACCAUCCUUGUACCGGUACAAGACCUGCGAAAAUGCAAACCCGAGGCUCGGGUUUCCGAGUUCUCGGCUCUGUACCGGUACAAGCACAACCUUGUACCGGUACAAGCCCGCCAGACAGCCAAUCCGAGAGCUGACCAAAAUCCAAAUUUUUGGGUUUUGGUGCGAGGCUUCGUACCAUACUCCUCGGGACACGUGCCAUAGGUCGGAACACAGUUAACGACCUACCAGCAAGUCUGGAAAAGCUCAGAACACGUCCAAUCACUCGAACCUCGCAAUUUGCAAAGGUCCAGUGUGUUACAGACCGGUCCUAGAACACAGAAAAGUUCAGUAAAAUAGUUUUAAAGCAAUCUAAGUCUUCUGAACUUAUUCUAAUUAAGUAUCUUCACCACAAAUGAUCUUUUCUUCAUACCUUAGAUGCCGAACUUUACGAAUGAAUCUUUGUUCUUCAAUUUGAAUCUUUUCUUCAAAAACUUUCGCGAUCAACUCUUCAAGACUCCAUUCAACAUUACGAAAUUCGCCAACCUAUAAAAUCCUUAACAAUCUCUCCCUUUGGCGAUUUCGUGACAAAAUAUACUACAAUGCUCGUAUACAACUCAAAAACAAUAAAAAGAAGAUCAUCGCAAUCACGAAACAAUAAUCUCCUGCAUGAUCGAUCCAAUAAACAAAAGUUACAAUUUUCAUAACCUUAAUACAGACUCUAUGACUUGGACAUGGAGUCUUGAAGUCUUGAAUUAUUCCUACAAAAAUAUUCUUAAAACGAAAAUAAAGAUUCAAGUAUACUUAUCAAGAUCAAACAUAAUCAAACAUAAACGUCAAAAUAGUACCAAGUCAGUUCAUAGUCAAGCACCUAAGCAAACAUGUAAACUAAAUUUACACAACUAUGCCAAGUGCACCAAAACAAAAAAAAAUCAAAAUAGUACACAACUAUGCAAAGUGCACCAAAACAAAAAAAAAUCAAAUCUAAACUAAUGCUUCAUCAUCAUCAAGAGCCAUCCAUCUUCAUCGUAUCAAGUCAUCUCCCCCUUUUUGUCAGGAAGGGCCAAAAAGACAAAAGGAGGAACCCCGCAACAUCUAAUCUGAAGCAUCCCCUGGGGGUAAAUCCGCUCGGCAACACCCUAAUUUGUCAAAAAUCAUAUUGUAAACAUGUAACAUACCAGAUUUUGGUAUAAAAAAUAAAAAUAAAUAAAAAUAGUGUGAGAAACUAUUUUUAUUGGAUUUGUAGGAGUAAAACAUAAGUCAAAAAUGACCUGUGCUGAAAUCGGAAUUAAAACAGAAGAUUUAGAAUUUUCUGUUGGAAACGGGGCAGAUAAAUUAGCAGAAAAUGCACAGUCUCAGAAAAUUAUGAAAAUUGGAGGAUAAGUCAGAAAUAUUUUUAUGAGGUUAGAUUUAAAGUUUCAUAUUUUUCUGACACCCGUAGAGUGAGAAAUAAAAUCCGACAGCUAUCUGAUAAAGAUUGGAGUUCGGUACAGUUUUCAGUGACCAAACGGGGUCGAAACUGAACCAGUGAUCGUCAGCUUGUUAAGUUAACUAAAACCGAAUAUGACUGUCAAGUUUGAGCUCAAACGGACACUCAGGGAGCUCCGGCGAAAGUUAUCAGAUUUCAAGCUGCCCGGGAGUGAAUAGUGUCUUGGGGGUAUUAUUAAGAAGCUGUUGCUUCUUCUUCUCCUUCGGCCGCACACCACACAUGCACACGACACACACACACGCAUACAUGGAAAGGGAGGGGGGAAGCUUCCCUUUCUCUCUCUAGAUUUCUCCCAAAAAUGAAUGGAUUUGGUGGAGAAGCAAGCUUGGAAGUCGAUCUUCAUCUUCUUCGUCUUCUUCCUCUCCAUUAGAGCAAGCUUUGAAGGUAAGCUUCAAACCCUUUAAUGACAUUUCUCUCUAGUUUGGUUUUUAAGCUCUAAGAAUGGAUUUAGAGGUAUUCUACCAUGCUAAUUAGAGGUUUGAUGCUUGAAACUAAGGCUCUAAUGGUGGAUUUUUACCUAGUUGUAAUCUAGGGCUCAAAAAUGCUAAUUUUGUAAAUAAGAGGGUUUGAUCUCAUUUGACCCUCUGUAAACCUAAUUGCUAGGUAAACGAACGCGUUGGCGAAGUCGGUUCGGCGAUUCGUCGAGCCGUUGAGAAGUUAUUAAAGAAACGGACGUUUAGGCUUCGUUUCCGCCUGGAGGGCCGAGGCGACAUCGCAAACCCAUGAAAAUGGAUUUGAAGCAUCGUGGCACAUAACUGAAGACCUUUAAUUUUUGGAUCGUGAAUUAGAGGCCGUUCGGGUGGUCGCGUUAGAGAUCGGGCCAAACCGGGUGCCGGGUGCCGCGGGAGGCCGAUUGCAAGUGUCGACAAGCAAUCGGAAUGCGAAAUGAGGUGGGUUGUGUUUACCGAAGCGACUUGGUAGCCCCGCAUGUCAAAGCGAAAUAUGGAAUCUUGUUGAUGCAUAUGUGUAUGUGCAUACGGCAUAUUAGCAUUGUAUAAAUGCAUGCUAGUUGGUAAUUUGCAUAUUAGUAUGUAUGCUUAGUGAAAUACACGCUAGGGGUAUUUAGCAUUAUGAGAUUCAUGUUGACAUGUAUUAGAGAACGUGAGCAUAUAAAUGAAUGUUAACAUGUUGUUAAUUAUAUGAGUUAUGAGAAAUUGCUAAAUAUGGACACAUGUUAGAUGACAAUAAGCAUAUUGACAUUAUGAAAAUGCAUACUACAGGAUAAUUGCAUAAUAAGGCAUUAGGAAAGUACAUGCUAGUUGUAAUGUAUGUUGGCAUUGAGAGGAUGCAUGUAGUUAACAUUAAAAGAAUGCAUGUAAAUGACAUGAUGUAAAAGCUAGGCAAAUGCUUGGUAUGGUUGCUAUAUAAUAAUUAUCGUAGAAUGCAUGAUGAAUAUGCUAUGUAAAUGCUAAAUGAUUGCAUGAAUUGGAUCGAUAACUCUAUGAUAGAGACCUUGAUAUUGGACAUCUAUAUAUUAGAUCGAGUGGCACUUAACCUAGAGUUAGGAACCUAGGUUGAACAUGGAUGAUAUGAACCUAGUGUGAAUAAACAUAGGUUGGACAUGAACCUAGUGUCAAAGAACUUAGGUUGGAAUCAUGUGUGGCAUUAAACCUAUUGUUAAAGAACAUAAGUCGGGCUUGGACAAUAGUAAACAAGGGUGACAAUGAAAAUAGAGACAUGAUUGGCAUCAAGAAAGUGGUUGUUAAACAUAGUUUAACCAUAUUGACAUUGGUCCAAGUUGACAUAGAGAGUGGCAUGAUUAAAUAGGUAGAAAACCUAUUACGACAAUGGCAUUGUGACGAGUGGCUAUGAAUCCUCAAGUUGAGGAUUGGAUCGAUACUCACGUUACGUCUUGGCUUGAGGGAGGUAGCUCCCUCUCGGGCGGUGCGCUCCGGAGUUGGUCACCACUGGGCGUGGUAAAGUCCCCCCAUAUGACGGUCCCCAGGGAGGUUCGAGUCCCCCGUUAUUAAGGGAUUUGGUUGUGAGUUAUUGGGGUUAACAUGGUUAACCAGUAAGAUUGGGUCAUAGCCAAAUGAAUGUACAACAAGUAUACAUUAUGAGUUAUGGAUUUGGUAUCCCAGUCGAGAGGAUUUAGGGCUGAGGUGUAUGUGAGACGUCCAUCGCCUCGAGCCUGGUUCUAGUGCGGUACUUCGCAGACGAUUGACUCAAGACCGAGUCGGGUGGUUAGCCUUGUAAAGGUAGAUGAAACGUUAUGAUUAAAACGGUGAUUGACAAGAAUCUAAGAUAGAGAAACCUUAGAUAUCAAACGGAUGAGCUAUGGUUAGCAGAAUGGAAAGUAGUAUCGAGUGAACUACUAGUUGGUUGCAUUAUUGCAUGAUUUGCAUAUAGCAUUGCAUUAUUACGUUUGUGAGGCAAUGCAUGAUUUUAUUUGUUGCAUAAUCAAGAUAUAUAUAUCUAUCUGUUUAUUAAACUAACCUGCAGUUGCCUCCUUUGUACCUGUUGGUCGAGCAUUUCCCUUGGGUGGCCGUACCCACUGGGAACCAUGGAGUUGGUUCUCACCCCACGUGGUUUUGGGGUUUUUACAGGUUCGCACGUGAGCGGCUCGGCGGCGCGAGGCGAGGGCGUAGUUCCAUAGUUAGCGCCCUACCACCGAGACCAGAGAUAGCGGUACCCUGAGUCGGCCUUACUUAGGGAUGCAAGAAAAUGAAAAGGAUGAAGUUGUAAUAAUAUUGUUAAAGCUAGAUUGUAUUUGGAAGCCAAAAAGAAUGUAGUAUGUAAUUGUGAUGUAAAAUGAAUCUAAUGUGAAUGAAUGUAAUAAUAUAGGAUGUGUUUAUGUUGUUUGAUACCUUCCAUUAUGCAAUCUUGCUUGAAAUGUGUUCCUGGUUGGAACUUCGCACAUUGUAUUGAUUGCUAUGCCUUGAACGUACAGGGGAGACUCUGUCUGCAGUACGGGGGAAACCCUGUCCGUUCGGCGGUCUGUCGGCGGCGCCGCGACCCGGCCAAAUAGGCGGGUGGUCGCGGGGCGUGACAAAACGCUUCAUCUUGCUCACAUCCUUCCGUAUCACCGCUUGCUCCGCAGAAAGUUUUUGAAGCUCCUCAGAUAACCGCUGUUGCUCACGAUAGAUUGAUGACACCGAUACAUCCUCCUCAGAAAUAUCUAUGGAAGGACGGGAAGAAGUAGCCGCAGCAGGAGGUGGAGCAGCAGGAGGUGGAGCAGCAGGAGGAGAAGAAGCACGCUGGGACGGAGUUCGAAGCUGCACAGAGGAUUUCACGAACGUCCUUUCAUUGAUCCUUCCCAAACUAUGCUCAUAUGAUGUACAACGAACAUCCACGUCAUGAAGUCGCAGAAUCCGUAUGAUAAUUAAUGAAAAUGGCAACCGUUCAUUUUGUCCAAAAGUUUUGAUGUCCUUCGCCAUUCUCUGCCAGAUCAAAAAUGGGAUAUUCAUCUUGAUAUUUUUCGCACUUACAAUAUCAGGCCGAGCCAAUAGAUACAUGUAUAAGAUGCGAUCCCAUCUCAAAAUCUUCGUGUUUGUGAGAGGCAGAAUGUUGUAGCAAAGCACGAAGUUCAGAAACCUGUACUCCAUUCUGAAAUCUUUGGACAUAACCAUAAUGCCGUUUGAUUCAGUACCCGGCAUGCAAAUAGUGUUCACGACACGGUUCCAAUCGCGAAGUGAGUCAAAACCGGCCUGUAGAUAUUCCACUCCUUCAGUCCUAGCUUCCAUUCCUAGCACAGACGCUAUCAUAUCAGGAGUAAUUGAUAACUCCACACCACGUACGGAAGUGCGGAAUACAUAUGGGUCGCCGUCGGAGUCACUCAAGUGACCUGCUCUCAUAUAGAAUUCUCUAAUCAAUUCCAAACAGAACCCAGUUUGUUCCGGGAAAUCACAAAUCUGAUGAAGAUUACCCUUUUCAAAUAAAUCCUGAAACCCUGGCACACAGUCAAUGAUACUUGCGACACCAACAUCACGCUCACCAAUACAAUGUUUCGACGAGUACAUUGACCGUCGAGCAGACGGAACAUCCUGUAGACUGAGACGCGGAGGCUCAGAACCCGGUUCUCUAAUCUCAACACCGCCAGAUUUCCGACGACCGGUAUAUCCAGAUACCUUUCCUUUUCCUUUAUCCACGGCUUUGCCUUUCCCUUUAUCAAUGGCUUGUCCUUUCCCCUUUCCUUUUCUAGUAUCCUUUUCCUUAGCCAACACCUCUGGAGUAAAAGCCUCCCAGUCCGGCUCAUCCUCCUCAGAUUCGUCGCCAGGAGCAUACUCGCUCUCUUCAUCCUCCGGUUGUUGCUCAACCGGCCGUUUACUGGAAGAGCGCUGUCGUUUACUUCCUCGACCACCCCCAGCCAUAAGGACCACAAGCACAAGAAUCCACGAGUACAUUUUUGAAAAAUCACCUGUUAAACAUAAUGAAGUUUACAAAUGGAACAUAAGAACACUUAAUUUUUCCUUUUUUUUAUUCCAAAAAAAAUCCAGCAAAUUGAUAUAUAAAUGCUAGAUAAUCCUAGGGGCCACAAAACAUGAGAAUCAUGAACAGUUGAAGCAACAAAAAUCAGGAAAACCACAUUAUCGGAGUGAAACUAGGUUUUGAUGAUGAAAAGUUUAAAAAACGUGACCAAAAAGGUGAAGAAAUAUAAGAGAAUAAGAAAACAACAGAUCUAAUACCAAGAUCGAAGCACAAAAACACAUAUUUAGCAAGAUCUCUUGAACAAACAUCAAAAAUAUGAAACGAAACACAUUAUCGGAGUAUAUGAUAUAAAAACAACAAAAUCCGAAAAUCAUACCUAAGAUCAGUGUAAAAAGAUGAAAAGAGAGAACCAAAAUCACCCUGGGAAUAUUAGAAGCUCAGGAGAAGAGGAUGAACGAAAUUGGUAAAGUAACAUGUGAAAGACCGCAAACCCUUAUAUCCGGUUCGGGCGGAAGGACCGGUCUCUCCUGCCUGGGACCGGUCCCAGAGCCUGAAUUAGAAAAACUUCAAUUUAAGCUCAAAUUUUGUCUAGAAAAAUUAUAAGGUAUUCCACAAUGUUCAAUCAACAAAAAUAACCAAUUUCUAUCCCCAAAAAUCUCAAAUAAAAUUUCAUAAAUAAAUUUUGAAAAAUCAAUUUCAAGGAAAGUCAAUUUGGCAAAAUUGUUGACCCGAUAAUCAGUGAAAAUUCCAGAUACAUGUAGAAUAAAAUUCUACACAUCAUGCAAGAGCUAGGAAUUAAUUGUAUCGAUUUAUCAUCAUAUUUGUUAAAGAAAAUGUAUAAAUAAUUCUCAGAAUCGUGAAAUUAAAAUAAUAUGUUCAAAUUGAGUUAUGCAUAAUGUUCGAGACAGGAGUGGCUCUUUGAGCAUCUUUUUUUAUUAACAUUCCACCUUAUAUCACCUUUGAGAUGUGUACCUCUUUGAGCAUUUUUCUUUUUAUCUCUGAAAGGUACUUUCCUUUUGUCUUAGAGAUAUACGUUAAUCAAUAUGUGGUAGCUACACACACUGACCGGACGACCGGGGUGAUAGCUAUUUCCUCCAUGUGGUGGUAGUUUUCACACUCCCAGCAGGGAUGUAACUCUUUCCACAUCUUGAAUUUCAGAAAUUUUCAUUACCAAAAUCGGAAAGACUCCGCCUAAAUUAGUGCAACCCUCAAGUCAAAAAUAUUAUUGCAAUUUCAAAAUCAGAGAAAGAAUUAUUCAUCUUAUAACGAAUAAUCAAACAAACAAUUGCAACAUUCAAAGUUCAAAGCAUGAGUUGUUGAAUUUGAUUUAGUAUGCUAAACAGAAUUUCAGCGAUUUGAUCGUUCAAAAAUUAUGACAAAAGAGAACAACCUUGACAGUGAUGAAUCAAAAAUUAAAUAUGAAAUAAUUAAAGUUACGGACCGAUUCAUCUCCCAAAAGUAGCAACAUUAUUCAAGAAAUUCAAUCAUCUCUCAAGCACAAUCAGGAAAUACCGGAAACCAUUCACAAAAAAAUAAAAUGCAACAUGCACAUGAUCUAUGGCCCAAUAGAAUAUAUCUAGAUUGAAGGAUUCAUACCAAUCGCUUUUCUUAAAUGCAGAAAACGUUUUUGAUCCAGAGGUUUGGUUAAAAUAUCUGCAAGUUGAUUUUCAGUCGAAUAUAUUCAAGUUGUAGGAUGUUUGAUUCAACCAGUUCUCUUAAAAAGUGAUAUCUUAGUUCAAUAUGUUUUGUCCGUGAAUGUAAAACAGGGUUUUUAGAAAUAUUAAUUGCACUUGUGUUGUCACAAAGAAUACUAAGAGUGGUGGAAGGGAUUCGAUAGUCGCUCAGUAAACUCUUCAUCCAGAUCAAUUGAGUAGAGCAACUCCCGGCCGCAAUGUAUUCAGCUUCAGCAGUGGAAAGAGCAAUGCAGUUUUGUUUCUUACUAUGCCAGGCAACCAAACAGUGUCCAAUGUAGAAACAAGCUCCACUGGUACUUUUCCUAUCAUCUGCAAAGCCUGCCCAGUCAGCAUCUGAGUAACCGAUUAGAUCAAGAGAUGUUCCCAUAGGAUACCAGAGGCCAUAUGCGGUCGUACCUUUAACGUACCGAAUGAUCCUUUUAACCGCUUUCCAAUGGACUUCCUUAGGAUUAGCUUGAUAGCGAGCACAAAUUCCAACACUAAAAGCGAUAUCUGGCCUGCUCGCAGUCAAGUACAGUAGGCUCCCAAUCAUGCUUCUGUAUUGUUUCUCAUCCACGCUCUGUCCUUCCGAAUUCACUCCAAGUCCUUUGUUACUUGUACCCAUUGGAGUGUCAAAAUCCUUUGCACUAUCCAAUCCAAAUUUCUUAACCAAAUCUUUCGCAUAUUUGGAUUGACACAAGUGAAUUCCAUCUUUAGUUUGUUUGACUUGAAGUCCAAGGAAAUAAUUAAGCUCUCCCAUCAUCGACAUCUCAAAUUCGCUUGUCAUCAAUUUAGCAAAAUCAUUGGCAUUUUUAUCUUUAGUUGCCCCAAAGACUAUGUCAUCAACAUAUAUUUGUGCCACAAUGAAAUCUUUCUUGAAGUGUUUUACAAAGAGAGUUCUAUCCGCUCCCCCUCGGUUAUAGCACUUUUCCAAAAGAUAUUUUGUCAAGUGUUCGUACCAUGCUCGCGGAGCCUGUUUUAGUCCAUAAAGUGCCUUUUUCAGUCGAAAAACGUGAUUUGAAAAUUUUGAGUCUAUAAAACCUUUCGGUUGUUCAACAUAAACUUUCUCUUUUAAAAAUCUAUUUAGAAAAGCAUUUUUAACAUCCAUUUGAAAAAGAGUGAUUUUAAAAUGGCAGGCAAUCAUGAACAAGAUACGAAUAGAUUCAAGACGGGCAACCGGGGCGAAGGUUUCAUCAAAGUCUAUUCCCUCAAUUUGUGAGUACCCCUGAGCAACAAGUCUCGCUUUGUUCCGAACAAUAGUAUCAUCCUCAUUUUUCUUAUUCUUAAAAAUCCAUUUGGUACCUAUGAUGUGUUGUUGCUCAGGACGAGGCACUGGUUCCCAUACAUCAUUGCGAACGAAUUGACCAAGUUCUUCUUGCAUUGCAUUUAUCCAAUAUUCAUCACGUAAAGCUUCGUCAAUAUUCUUUGGCUCAAUCAAAGAUACAUAGCACGCAAAUUCAUAUUGUAGUUGACUUCUUGUUCGCACACCAACAUUAGGGUCCCCAAUUACAUUCGAUAAAGGAUGACCUCUCGACUCUGUCAGGGGUGUAGUCUCAGGAGUUAUGCUUGGGAUUUCAGAUGAGGUGUUUUGAGGCUCAGAUGAAUCAUUUGAAGCAACAUUUUCAGAUGAUGCAAUGGAAUUAUCAAGAGCAGAGACAUCAUCAUUCACAGGCAAUACAAACGGAGAAUCAUUAUCAUCAUCAUUCAUCAAGGAGUUAGAAGGACCAUUCACAGAAGAAUUUACUGAAGAAGCUUCAUCUACUUUUAUAUUAAUAGAUUCUAUCACCGUCUUAGAUCGUAAAUUGUACAAACGAUAAGCACGACUUGAAGUAGAAUAACCAAGAAAGAUCCCUUCGUCACUUCGAGAGUCAAAUUUUCCAAGAUUUUCACGAUCCCGAAGGAUAAAACAUUUACUCCCGAAGAUACGAAAGUAUUUAACAUUUGGUUUCCUACCAAGCCAAAGUUCAUACGGAGUAUUUAAGGUAUCCGGGCGCAUAUAAAUCCGAUUGAUAACAUAGACAGCUGUGUUAACUACUUCGGCCCAAAAGUGUAAAGCAAUUUUCUUACUAUGAAGCAUAACACGUGCCAUCUCCUGUACAACCCGAUUCUUGCGUUAAACAACUCCGUUUUGUUGGGGUGUAUAAGGAGCUGAGAAUUCAUGUCUUAUGCCAUUUGAAACACAGAAAUCAACAAAUUUUGAAUUUAUGAAUUCUCUCCCUUGAUCACUUCGAAUACGUACUAUUUUAUCAUUACGCUCAUUCAUAAGACGGAAACAAAUCUCAGAAAAAGAGUCAAAAGUAUCAGCUUUUUCACGUAAGAAAGCACUCCAUACAAAACGAGUAAAGUCAUCAACAAUGAGCAAGAUAUAACGUUUUUCACCCAAACUUUGAAUCCUAGAUGGUCCCAUCAAAUCCAUGUGAAGUAAUUCUAAAGGUUUAGAUGUCCCUAAAUGGUUCAAAUUCUUAUGUGCGGACCUAGUUUGUUUCCCCAAUUGACAGCCCCCACACACAGUGUUCUCUUUGAAGUCAAUCUUAGGUACACCUCUAACAACCUCCUUCUUAGUUAUCUUGGAUAGCUCCUUAAAGUUUAUGUGACCUAGUCGUUCAUGCCAUAAAGUCUCACUUUCUAAUGACGCUAGGUUACAAUGUUCAGUCGAAGAACUAGGAACUAUAUAACAGUUAUUCUGAGAUCUAAUGCCCUUUAAGAAAAGAUUGUCAUCACGAGUCACAUGGCAUUCUUUAUCGAAAAAAUUAACAGAAUACCCAUCAUCACACACUUGGCUUAUGCUUACAAGAUUAGAUUUCAGCCCCUCAACAUAGAAAACAUCAUUCAAGGUAGGGCCAUCUGAGAUAGUCACUGUUCCUUUUCCAACAAUUUUUGACGACCGACCGUCCCCAAAAACAACAAGUCCUCCGGAGAUUUUGUUCAAAGAAGUAAACCAAUUUUUAUCUCCGGUCAUGUGGCGGGAACAACCACUAUCCAGAUACCAUGAAGUAUUAUCGUAAACAUGAAGCGAAGUGUGAAUGACUAGGCAUGGGAAGAGUUCACCUUUGCGCACCCAAACCUUACGUGUUUUGGGUUGCGUCGAUUUACUUGCUUUUGGUAAUCGUGGCUUGUCGACGAUUUGAAUUGGCUUCCUCUUCAUAUCCUCCUUCUUUGGUUUCCAUGCUUGUUUUGCCUUUGGCUUCGGAGUAUUUGGUGUCCAAGUUUGUCUCUUCUUAUGACCUGCCUUCUUUGGAGUCCAAGUUGACUUCGUUGUCGUUUUAGGAUCAUUCUUCAUAGGUGCUGUUGAGCUCUUUCCCUUUUGGUUGCAAAAUUUCUUUAUGUGUCCUAAAACACCACAAAUAUGACAAGUUUUGCUAGCCAAAUUAUUUUUAGGAGAGACGAACUUACCAUAAAGUUUAGGAACAGCAGUUGACGAAUUUUCAUCAUCUUUCUUCGUUACUUGAUCAAUAUACGUCCGUUCAUAACCAAAUCCAAGUUUGUUUGUUUGACCAAGUCCAAGCAUCUUGUCAAGUUUACUUGAGCCAGACGAAAAUUGGUUCAAAUCCGACUUCAGUUGAAUGAUCGUCUUGGUGAAUUCCAUAUUUGCUUCUCUAGCUUCCGAGUAUUGCUUGGUGAGAAAAUUGAUGUUCUCCACCUGAGUCUCUUUUUUCUUUUCAAGUAACGAACACUUCUCAUAUAAAGAAUUGUAGGCCUUUGUCAAACCAUCUCUCUUGUAACACACUGGACCUUUGCAAAUUGCGAGGUUCGAGUGUUUGGAUGUGUUUCGAGCUUUUCCACACUUGGUGGAGGGUCGUAGAAUGUUUUCCGACCUAAAAAGUUCGAAAACUGGAAUUCUGGACAAGUCCUGAGAGUUUUUACUCUCGGGGACCGGUCCCUGGAAGGAGAGACCGGUCCCCCAGUGAGCAGUGCUGCGGCAGCCCUGAGGCAACCGGUCCCUGGCGGGCGAGACCGGUCCCCGAGCGCGCCUUCGCAGAGAGAGACCGGUCCCACACAAGGAGAGACCGGUUCCCGAACGUUGAUUUUUCGGGUUCGCAGCGAGAGACCGGUCCCUGCUGGGGAGAGACCGGUCCCUCUGGGCGAAAACUGCCCAGACCGGGCUAAUGCAAUUUUGGAUUUUUGGAGGACCUAGCUGGAUUUUGUUACAAUAGAUGGCCUAUAUGACCCAUCCCCUCUCUCUUCUCCUCAUUUCUCUCCUCUCAACUCUCUCUCUACACCCUAUGUCAUGCCCCGGGACCGGCGAAGGCCCUCCCGGUAGCGUGCCCAGACCCGCCAUAUGUCAACACAUAUAAGGCGUCUACAAUAAAAGCGGAAGUAAAAGCAAGAAAUAGUACAAAUAGAGCAGUAACAACUAGUGAUAUCAGAGCGAGAGUAGAGAAAGCAUAACUAAACAAUAAGAGUAAACAUAAGGUAGUACAAAUAAUAUCUUCUCAACAGGAAUACAAGGAUCCAAAAGAAGGGUGGUCUCUCUACAAAUACAGGUACAACUCACAACCUCUCACAAAAUGAAACUACUAGAGGUAGACCACCUAUCAAAUCGUACUCAAAGGAAGCUAGCUCGAAGCAACUCCCUACCCGCGGUCCCUAGCCUCUCCCGGCGUGGAAGGCUCUGAAAGAAAACACAAAACAGAGGGCGUGAGAACUAUGAUUUAUAGUUCCCAGUGGCCAAUUACUGACCUCAGCUCAGUGCACCACUAGGCCCCAAGGAAAAGGGUAAGUCUAACAAUAAGAGUAACGAGUAAAUCGCAUAUUAGAAAGCAUAAUAAUUAGGAUGCUAAGCUACAACUUGCAAUUAAACAUAGCAUUCCUAAUGCGACUUUAUCUUGUCAUGGAUAUAUAUGUUCACAAGUAAUAUCAUGCUUUACUUUAUACAGAUAUGAAAGUAAUACUUGGUUAUGACUACAAUGCAUAUAAGGAUGCAAUAAACAACAUCUCCUAGCAUACUACAUGUAUGUAUGAAUACCCAAAUGUCCACAACUAUGCUAGAAGUAAGUCCAAGUAAUCCUACUACUACUCUCUGACUAGUAGUGAUCAUAAUAAACUCAACACCGUGUCGAUUUUCAUUUCCAAUUAAGGACCUACCAAAGGUAGUCCAGCUUGUGCCGCCUAAGUGCCUGUGGUAGCCCAACAUCCCUACUCUUGGGAUGUGUGUCACGCCCCGCGACCGCCCGCCUAUUUGGCCGGGUCGCGGCGCCGCAACAGAUCGCCGAAUGGACAGGGUUUUCCCUGUACCGCGGACAGAGUCUCCCAUGUACAUUCAAGGCUUCGCAAUCAAUACAAUGUACGAAGUUCCAAUCAGGAACACAUUUCAAUCAAGAUUGCAUAAUGGAAGGUAUCAAACAACAUAAACACAUCCUAUAUUAUUACAUUCAUUCACAUUAGAUUCAUUUUACAUCACAAUUACAUAAUACAUUCUUUUUAGCUUCCAAAUACAAUCUAGCUUUAUCAAUAUUAUUACAACUUGAUCCUUUUCAUUUUCUUGCAUCCCUAAGUAAGGCCGACUCAGGGUACCGCUAUCU
RNAcentral lists this long non-coding RNA (24802 nucleotides) under Ananas comosus (pineapple). Its description in RNAcentral is "long non-coding RNA (ACOM_LNC021078)". The record is from RNAcentral. Lineage: Eukaryota; Viridiplantae; Streptophyta; Magnoliopsida; Poales; Bromeliaceae.